ACUUUUAACAAUAGAUCUCUUGGUUCUAGUAUUAAUAAAGAACGCAGCAAAAUGCAAUAAGUAGUGUAAAUUAUAGAAUUUAGUAAAUUAUUAAAUCUUUAAACGCACAUUGCGCCCCUUAGUAUUCUAUAGGGCAUGCCUAUUUAAGCGUUAUUUAUACCCUUAAGCUCUACUUAGUGUUAGGUGUUUGUUUUACUUAGGACUUGCCUUAAAACAAUUAGCAGCUAGCACAUUAGCCUAGAGCGUAGCACAUUUUACGCCUCUUGUUAUGGUUAUUAGUAUCUAUUAAGACACUUUUUAAGCUCUUAACCUUAGAUUAGGUAGGGAUACCUGCUAAACUUAAGCAUAUUAAUAAGUAGAGGAAAAGAAACUAAUAGGGAUUGCCCUAGUAAUAGCAAGUAAAGCGGCAACAGCUUAAAUUUAAAAUCUAGCUCUUUUAGGGUCUAAGUUGUAAUUUGUAGAGGGCGCUUUAGCGUUAGUAGUAGUCUAAGUUCCUUAGAAUAGGACGUUAUAGAGGGUAAGAAUCCUAUAUAUAGUUGCUAGCCUUCGCUAUAUAAAGCCCCUUUAACAAGUUAAGUUAUUUAGGAAUGCAGCUCUAAAUAGGAGGUAAAUUUCUUCUAAAGCUAAAUACUAGCUAGAGACUAAUAGCGCAUAAGUAGAGUAAUUAAAAGAUAAAAAGCACUUUAGAAAGAGAGUUAAAUAGCACGUAAAAUUGUUGAAAGGGAAGCGCUUGUAGCUAGACUUGCCUAUAGUUGCUUAUCUAGGCUUUUAUCUAGUGCACUCUUCUAUAGGCAGGCUAGUAUUAGUUUAGGCAGUUAGAUAAAGGUCUCUAUUACGUACCUCUCUUUAGGGAGGCCUUAUAGGGGAGAUAACAUGUAACUAGCCUAGACUAAGGUCCGCGCAUCUGCUAGGAUACUAGCGUAAUAGCUGUAAGCGGCCUAUCUUAAAACAUGGACUAAGGAGUCUAAUAUCUAUGCAAGUGUUUAGGUGUUAAGCCUAGACGCGUAAUAAAAGUAAACGGAGGUGGGACCCCUUUUAGGGUGCACUAUUAACUAAUCCUAAUAUCUUUAGAAGGAUUUAAGUAAGAGUAUAGCUAUUAGGACCUAAAAGAUAGUAAACUAUGCUUAAAUAGGGUAAAGCUAGAGGAAACUCUAGUAGAGGCUCGCAGCAGUUCUAACGUGCAAAUUAAUUAUUAAAUUUAGGUAUAGGGGCGAAAGACUAAUUAAACUAUCUAGUAGCUAGUUCCUACUAAAGUUUCCCUUAGGAUAGCAGUAACGUAUUUAGUUUUAUAAGGUAAAGCAAAUAAUUAGAGGCCUAGGGGUUAAAAUAACCUUUACCUAUUCUUAAACUUUAAAUAUGUAAGAAGUCCUUAUUACUUAAUUAAACGUGGACACUUAAAUAUACUAUUACUAGUAGGCUAUUUUUAGUAAGCAGAACUAGCGAUAUAGGAUAAACUAAACAUAGGGUUAAGGUGCUAGAAUGCACGCUUAUUAGACACUAUAAAAGGUGUUAGUUUAUCUAGAUAGUAGGAUAGUAGCUAUAGAAGUUAGAAUCUACUAAGGAGUGUGUAAUAACUUACCUGCUAAAUAAACUAGCCUUAAAAAUAGAUAGCGCUUAAGCGUGUUACCUAUACCCCGCCGCUAGGGCAAGAUUUAAGCCCUAGCGAGUAGGCAGGCGUAGAGGCUUGUGACAAAGCCUUAGGGGUAACCCUAGGUAGAAUAGCCUCUAGUGCAGAUCUUAGUAGUAGUAGUAAAUACUUAAAUAAGAACUUUAAGGACUAAAGUAGGGAAAGGUUCUAUAUAAAUAGUAGUUAGACACGGGUUAGUUAAUCCUAAGAGAUAGGGUAAUUCUAUUUUAAUAUUAGUGCUUGCGCCGCGCCCUUAAAAGGGAAGCUAGUUAAUAUUCUAGCACCUAGAUAUAGAUUCUCUGCGGCAACGCAACUAAGAGUAGAGACCUUAGCAGGAGCCCUAAGAAGAGUUCUCUUUUCUUCUUAACAGUCUAUUACCCUAAAAUUAGUUUGUUUAGAGCUAGGGUUUAAUAGCUAGAAGAGUGCUGCACUUUUGCGGUAUUUAGUGCGCUCCUAACAAGCCUUAAAAAUCUACUUAAAGAAAUAGUUUUUACGCUAGGUCGUACUUAUAACUAUAGUAGGUCUCUAAGGUAAAAAGCCUCUAGUUAAUAGAAUAAUAUAGAUAAGGGAAGUUAGCAAAAUAGAUCUGUAACUUUAGGAAAAGGAUUAGCUCUAAGGGUUAGGUACGUUAGGCCUUAGGGAGAAGCCUCUAGCGUAGAAGGGCACUAACUAUAAGGUAGGCGCCUCUUAGCGCUAAGGUGCAGACACCCUUAGCAGGUUUUAGCUAUCUAGCGUACGUUUAACAACUAACUUAGAACUAGUAUAGAUAAGGGGAAUCUAACUGUCUAAUUAAAAUAUAGCAUUGUAAUAGCUAGAAAGUAGUGUUAAUAUAAUGUGAUUUCUGCCUAGUACUCUAAAUAUUAAAGUAAAGAGAUUUAACUAAGCGCAGGUAAAUAGUAGGAGUAACUAUAACUCUCUUAAGGUAGCUAAAUACCUUGUUAUCUAAUUAGUAACGCGCAUAAAUAGAUUAACGAGAUUCCUACUAUCCCUAUCUACUAUCUAGCGAAACCACAGCUAAGGGAACAGGCUUAGCUAAAUUAGCCUAGAACCUUACUAGAUUAGCGUUAGUAGCCCUAUUAAAGUUAGAGUUGUUAGCUAGUGUAUUGCAAUUGUAUAGUGCGUAGGAUUAAAUCCUUUGUAGAUAACUUAGUUAUCUAGCUAGGUCGUGUAAGUAGUUAAGUAGCCUUAUUGUUACGAGCUACUAAGCGUAAGCCCGUUGCUAGCUUAGUUAAAAUUAGGAUAUUAUACCCUCCUUAUUUGCAAAACUGCUGCCUAAAUAGCUACUAUUAAUAGAAGGAAGAGGGCUAUAGCUAAUAUGUUAUAUAGCAAUUGCAAGAUAGCAAGGGCUAGAGCUAGAAGCAAUCCUUACAAAAUAUACAAAAGAACAGGUUGUGUGUGUACGUACCUUAGGCAGUUAAAUUAUAGCAUAUAAAGAUUAAGAAAGGACAUAAAAUAAUCUAUACAUAUUUGUAGGCGGUGUUCUACAACUUAGGGCGUUCUAUAACCCUUUAUUUUUUAGGGGUAGUGUUCUAUAACUUAGGGCGUUCUAUACUUAAAAAAUCUUAUAGGCUAUUCUAUAACUAUAGAUUAUUCUAAACCUUUAGGGCAUUCUAUUAAUGUUUUAAAAAAUCUAGUAGGCUAUUUUAUAAGCUUAUAGCGUUCUAUAACUUUAGGGCGUUCUAUAACUUAGGGCGUUCUAUAACCUUUUACUUCUUAGGGGUAGUGUUCUAUAACUUAGGGCGUUCUAUAACCUUUUAUUUUUUAGGGGUAGUGUUCUAUAACUUAGGGCGUUCUAUAACUUUUUAUUUUUAGGGGUAGUGUUCUAUAACUUAGGGCGUUCUAUAACCUUUUAUUUUUUAGGGGUAGUGUUCUAUAACUUAGGGCGUUCUAUAACUUUUUAUUUUUAGGGGUAGUGUUCUAUAACUUAGGGCGUUCUAUACCUUUUGUUUAUUCUAUUACUUUAUUGCUUUCUAUAACUUUAGACUAUUCUAUAAUAGUAGCUAUUAUAUCCUUUUUAUAAUCCUUAUAGUAUUAUACUAUUAUCUAUUAUUCUUUACUCUUAAGUAUAUCCUUAUAUUUUAUAAAUCUUUUUCUUUACUAGCUAGUCCUACUAUACUUUUUUAUAACCUACUAGUAUUAAAUAAUACCUUUAUAUUCUUCCUCUAUACUAUCUCUAUUUCUUGCCUUAUAUAUUAAGUAGAUAUAGAUAGAGCUAAUAGAUCUAUAGUUAAUAUAGAUAAAGUAGUUAUAGUAGAGUACAGAUAUUAGAGUAGAGAUCCUUAUCUAUAUAUUUACCUACUACUAAUAGAAUUCUAAGUUGCUCUUAUCUAGCGAAUACAGGUUUAUAGUUUGUAUAGGGCUACGCAUGUCUACACGGUUUUAUAUACAAAAAAGUGUACCUCUAAGCUAUUUUCUACCACACUAACCCCGCAACGCAAAAAUUAAACUAAAACCCGUUCCUAUAAUAUAUAAGGAGGGCAAAUAGAUUCUUAAAUACUAAAUACCUAACUAAGUAACUAAGGUUAAAUCUACUACGCGCAGUUCUUAGAUUAGGCAGUUAAACUAGCGUUAUUAGGCACUAAGGGGGCAAUUUUUGCUUGUGUCCGCGUCUAUGCUCCCUAUAACUCCCUAUUAUUAGCGCUCUGCGCCUAUUUUAGUGGUAGUUAGACUAAAUUUAAAAGUUUUAGUUUUAUAAUAGCUAGCCUUGUUUCCUAGAUUUCUGCCUGGUUUAGAUUCGCUCUAAUUAGUAGGUAAUUAGGGGCUUAGAGAUUGCUCUUCUACUUAACUAGGCAGGCCUAGGCCUAUAUGCUAAAGCAACCCUGCUAUUGCGCCUAGUUUUGUGGUUAGCACCUAAAGUCCUACUGUUAAAGUUUUAGUAGUAGGCAAAAUUUAGGGUCUAUAGAUAGCUAGCACUACUAAACUAUUUAAUAGAUCUUAGGGGACAGCCCUGCCUAGCAUCUGCUCCUAGUAAGCGUAGCAAAGCGUAGGUUUUCUCUACUUAAGGCAUAUAUGUGGCGAGUUUAAACACGUAGAAACGCCUAUUAGGCUUUGUUAUAGACUAUUCCUUAAGAAACUUAGUAGGGGCAAUUAAAUUAGUUACUAGUUAUAACUAGUGCCUUGUGUGCUAUUAUGCUAGUAGCUAGAAUUGCUUCUGCGAUUUCUUAUUACGUACUUUCUGCCUCCUUUUAGGGGUAGUGCUUAUGCGCUUUGGCGUAUUAGGUAUUAGGAUUAUUACCUAGUUAAUUCUACUAGUAGUUAUAUACUUGU
Molecule: ribosomal RNA, 4894 nt
Filed under: Plenodomus lingam JN3
Lineage: Eukaryota; Fungi; Ascomycota; Dothideomycetes; Pleosporales; Leptosphaeriaceae
Description: 28S_rRNA
Rfam family: Eukaryotic large subunit ribosomal RNA (bases 307-2860)
Source: RNAcentral